CACCGACGAACGCCCAUCAAAACUUACGACUGAAGAAGUGUCUGAUCCGUCAUCCACAUUGGCUACUACAGACCAUAACCAACAGUAUCUGCGUAUGGGAUACCUGAACUACAUUUCAGUCACUCAGUAAAGUGAUAACUCAAAAUACAACUGUCAACAGAUCUGAAGAAAUUGCCACUGCGUCUUUAGACCGUUUUCGUCAGACGAGAGACACAGUUCUGACUCUGAUUACCGGUUGCUGUACGUAUCUAUCCACAUCAACGCUUUUGAGAGAGACUCGUGAAGAUUCAAGACAGCUCUUAGAGGAUUUGCAGUUUAAAAGUGAAAUAACUGUGAAAUAAGUGUGUGAAUGAUUA
Long non-coding RNA from Schistocerca nitens (vagrant locust), 356 nucleotides. RefSeq lists it as uncharacterized. The record is from RefSeq and is a predicted model, not a curated record. NCBI's taxonomy places the organism in Eukaryota, Metazoa, Arthropoda, Insecta, Orthoptera, Acrididae. The transcript is spliced from 3 exons.